GGCAGUUUUAAGAAGAAUGCAUUGAUUCUACAACAUGCUAUUGUGAAGCCAUCCAGGACUGUUCACUCACUUAUUUAAGAAAGAGAAAAUAAGAGAAGUAUCCCUGAAGGAUGAAAUAUCCUCAAAUAUGAAAAUGUCUGCUCUCUGAAGACCAACUGUCUUAGUCUGCUUUUUGCUGCUGUAACAGAAUACCACAGACUUGGUUACAUUAGUUAUAAUAUACACUCUGGAGGUGACUUGACCUGUCAUUGUGAACAACUAUUGCUCUUGGACGACCCAGGACAUAGGCCAGCCAGUACGUACCCCAGUGUGUUGGAGAAUCGCGCUCGGCUUCUUCCUCUGUGCUGAGUCAUGAAAGUUGCCGGAGCAGGUGCAGUUACACAACCUCCAGGCAACAUCACAUGAUCGUUCAAAAAAUAAUCAUCAAGUCCAGGAUGCAGCAUCUGUCUCAGUUUUUGGCAUAGGAUGACAGUCUGAAAUACACUUACUGAAUUUGAAUAAGAACGGGCUCAGGUCAGUGAUUAUCGCUAGUGCCUUAUCAACGCCCUGUGGCUUUUCAGCAUUAGUCCCCAUAUCCUGGUCCGGUGUGGC
RNAcentral lists this long non-coding RNA (591 nucleotides) under Gorilla gorilla gorilla (western lowland gorilla). RNAcentral's name for it is "lncRNA (ENSGGOG00000044315.1)". Lineage: Eukaryota; Metazoa; Chordata; Mammalia; Primates; Hominidae. The record is from RNAcentral.